Molecule: ribosomal RNA, 618 nt
Filed under: uncultured bacterium
Lineage: Bacteria
Description: bacterial SSU rRNA
Rfam family: Bacterial small subunit ribosomal RNA (bases 1-541)
Source: RNAcentral
CCUACGGGAGGCAGCAGUAAGGAAUAUUGGUCAAUGGGCGCAAGCCUGAACCAGCCAUGCCGCGUGCAGGAAGACGGCCCUACGGGUUGUAAACUGCUUUUGUACCGGAAUAAACCCUUUUACGUGUAAGAGGCUGAAUGUACGGUAAGAAUAAGGAUCGGCUAACUCCGUGCCAGCAGCCGCGGUAAUACGGAGGAUCCAAGCGUUAUCCGGAUUUAUUGGGUUUAAAGGGUGCGUAGGUGGCUUUUUAAGUCAGGGGUGAAAGACGGUAGCUUAACUAUCGCAGUGCCUUUGAUACUGAAGAGCUUGAAUGAACUAGAGGUAGGCGGAAUGUGACAAGUAGCGGUGAAAUGCAUAGAUAUGUCACAGAACACCAAUUGCGAAGGCAGCUUACUAUGGUUUUAUUGACACUGAGGCACGAAAGCGUGGGGAUCAAACAGGAUUAGAUACCCUGGUAGUCCACGCCCUAAACGAUGAAUACUCGAUGUGGUCGAUAUACGUACGACGUCGUACGUACGACGAAGUACGUUAAGUUACUACCUACGUCGGUAGGUACGCCGACGAGGAGAACUAAUAGUAGUAGACGNGNGAGAGCGCGACGACGACGACGAGGAGGAG